GGGAAUGUGGCCUAGUGGUAGAGUGCUUGCCUAGCACGCAUGAAGCCCUGGGUUCAAUUCCGCAGUACCA
Molecule: transfer RNA, 70 nt
Filed under: Dipodomys ordii (Ord's kangaroo rat)
Lineage: Eukaryota; Metazoa; Chordata; Mammalia; Rodentia; Heteromyidae
Rfam family: tRNA
About the family: Transfer RNA (tRNA) molecules are approximately 80 nucleotides in length. Their secondary structure includes four short double-helical elements and three loops (D, anti-codon, and T loops). Further hydrogen bonds mediate the characteristic L-shaped molecular structure. tRNAs have two regions of fundamental functional importance: the anti-codon, which is responsible for specific mRNA codon recognition, and the 3' end, to which the tRNAs corresponding amino acid is attached (by aminoacyl-tRNA synthetases). tRNAs cope with the degeneracy of the genetic code in two manners: having more than one tRNA (with a specific anti-codon) for a particular amino acid; and 'wobble' base-pairing, i.e. permitting non-standard base-pairing at the 3rd anti-codon position.
Source: Rfam by way of RNAcentral